RNAcentral lists this ribosomal RNA (540 nucleotides) under uncultured bacterium. RNAcentral describes it as "bacterial SSU rRNA". It matches the Rfam family "Bacterial small subunit ribosomal RNA", at positions 95 to 650 of the family's 1533-position model. The record is from RNAcentral.
GUGGCGGACGGGCGAGUAACGCGUGAGUAACCUGCCCAUAAGAGGGGGAUAAUCCAUGGAAACGUGGACUAAUACCGCAUAUUGUAGUUAAGUUGCAUGACUUGAUUAUGAAAGAUUUAUCGCUUAUGGAUGGACUCGCGUCAGAUUAGAUAGUUGGUGAGGUAACGGCUCACCAAGUCAACGAUCUGUAGCCGAACUGAGAGGUUGAUCGGCCGCAUUGGGACUGAGACACGGCCCAGACUCCUACGGGAGGCGGCAGUGGGGAAUAUUGCGCAAUGGGGGCAACCCUGACGCAGCAACGCCGCGUGCAGGAAGAAGGUCUUCGGAUUGUAAACCGUUGUCGCAAGGGAAGAAGACAGUGACGGUACCUUGUGAGAAAGUCACGGCUAACUACGUGCCAGCAGCCGCGGUAAUACGUAGGUGACAAGCGUUGUCCGGAUUUACUGGGUGUAAAGGGCGCGUAGGCGGACUGUCAAGUCAGUCGUGAAAUACCGGGGCUUAACCCCGGGGCUGCGAUUGAAACUGACAGCCUUGAGUAUC